Molecule: long non-coding RNA, 359 nt
Filed under: Pan troglodytes (chimpanzee)
Lineage: Eukaryota; Metazoa; Chordata; Mammalia; Primates; Hominidae
Description: long non-coding RNA NONPTRT008908
Source: RNAcentral
CAAGGUUGUCUCGAUCUCCUGACCUCGUGAUCCGCCCGCCUCAGCUCCCAAAGUGUUGGGAUUACAGGCGUGAGCCACUGCGCCCGGCCAUUUUUGCCUACUUUCAUAGGGAAAAGGGAUAGCAGCACCAAGCUGAGGCUUCCUUCGAAUUCUCCCAUGACUUUGUUUCCCCAACCUCUCUUAGCCCAUCUCCUGAGCUGUCUGAGCAGCCUGAACAUGCAUUCCGUGCCCAGCUACCUCACCCAGCCUCCACCUCCUCCUCCACCUCCUCCACCACUGCCCCCACCGCCACCACCUCAGCCUCCACCACCUCCACCCCAGAGCCUGGGCCCCCCUGGGCGUCCCAACCCUGGUGGGAA